ACGAACGCUGGCGGCGUGCUUAACACCUGCAAGUCGAACGGAAAGGCCCUGCUUUUGUGGGGUGCUCGAGUGGCGAACGGGUGAGUAACACGUGAGUAACCUGCCCUUGACUUUGGGAUAACUUCAGGAAACUGGGGCUAAUACCGGAUAGGAGCUCCUGCUGCAUGGUGGGGGUUGGAAAGUUUCGGCGGUUGGGGAUGGACUCGCGGCUUAUCAGCUUGCUGGUGGGGUAGUGGCUUACCAAGGCUUUGACGGGUAGCCGGCCUGAGAGGGUGACCGGCCACAUUGGGACUGAGAUACGGCCCAGACUCCUACGGGAGGCAGCAGUGGGGAAUAUUGCACAAUGGGCGGAAGCCUGAUGCAGCAACGCCGCGUGCGGGAUGACGGCUUUCGGGUUGUAAACCGCUUUCGCCUGUGACGAAGCGUGAGUGACGGUAAUGGGUAAAGAAGCACCGGCUAACUACGUG
Molecule: ribosomal RNA, 467 nt
Filed under: uncultured bacterium
Lineage: Bacteria
Description: partial 16S ribosomal RNA
Rfam family: Bacterial small subunit ribosomal RNA
Source: RNAcentral